CGCUAAAAGAACAGUUUAAUAAUGCCACACCCAUCCCCACCCACAGUUGUCCCCUAUCUCCAGACCUCAUUCGCAAUGAAGUAGAAUGUCUGAAAGCAGAUUUCAACCACAGAAUCAAGGAGGUUCUCUUCAACUCCCUCUUCAGUGCCUACUAUGUUGCAUUUCUCCCCCUGUGUUUUGUGAAGAGUACCCAGUACUAUGACAUGCGCUGGUCAUGUGAGCACCUCAUUAUGGUGUGGAUCAAUGCUUUUGUCAUGCUCACCACGCAACUGUUGCCAUCCAAAUACUGUGAUUUGCUACAUAAAUCAGCUGCUCACCUGGGCAAGUGGCAGAAGUUGGAACAUGGGUCCUACAGCAAUGCUCCACAGCACAUGUGAGUAAGCUAGAGGGUAAAACCAUGUAACACUUUCUACAUGCUGCUGAUCAUGUUUAUUUGCUUUGUAUGUCAUUCUUGUUCUUGGCUUUGAACAUUUAAUUUUUAGUUUUUGUCUUACAUGGAUGCUUGUCGUCAUGCUAAACUGAAUACAAGGGACAUUAACUCAUUUCCACCACCACCCCAGCUCCUUAAAUGCGUU
RNAcentral lists this small RNA (575 nucleotides) under Pan troglodytes (chimpanzee). RNAcentral describes it as "retained intron". Lineage: Eukaryota; Metazoa; Chordata; Mammalia; Primates; Hominidae. The record is from RNAcentral.